Molecule: ribosomal RNA, 253 nt
Filed under: uncultured bacterium
Lineage: Bacteria
Description: partial 16S ribosomal RNA
Rfam family: Bacterial small subunit ribosomal RNA
Source: RNAcentral
UACAGAGACUGCAAGCGUUAUUCGGAUUCACUGGGCGUAAAGGGUGCGCAGGCGGUCGGGUGUGUCAGAUGUGAAAUCCCGAGGCUCAACCUCGGAACUGCGUCUGACACUACUCGACUAGAGUACUGGAGAGGGUAACGGAAUUCACGGUGUAGCAGUGAAAUGCGUAGAGAUGCGGAGGAACACCAGUGGCGAAAGCGACUUUCUGGUCCUUAACUGACGCUGAGGCGCGAAAGCAUGGGGAGCGAACGGG